UCCCUGGUGGUCUAGUAGUUAUGAUUCAGCACUUUCACUGCUAUGGCCCAGGUUCGUCCCUGGUCUGGGAA
This 71-nucleotide transfer RNA is filed under the name Sus scrofa (pig). It matches the Rfam family "tRNA". From Rfam's summary of the family: Transfer RNA (tRNA) molecules are approximately 80 nucleotides in length. Their secondary structure includes four short double-helical elements and three loops (D, anti-codon, and T loops). Lineage: Eukaryota; Metazoa; Chordata; Mammalia; Artiodactyla; Suidae. The record is from Rfam by way of RNAcentral.